Molecule: transfer RNA, 66 nt
Filed under: Coenobita brevimanus
Lineage: Eukaryota; Metazoa; Arthropoda; Malacostraca; Decapoda; Coenobitidae
Description: tRNA-Ile
Source: RNAcentral
GGUGUAGUUCUUAGUGAGGUUGACGCUGAUAAUGUCAAUUUUGUAAUUUAGAUGUUACCUACACCU